AGAGCUAAAACUGCAAGUCGAACGAGAGACCUCUCGGGUCUCUAGUGGCGAACGGGUGAGUAACACGUAGGGAACCUGCCCGCGCACCGGGAAUACGCUCUGGAAACGGAGAACAAAUCCCGAUGUACAGGAAGGAGGCAUCUUCUUUCUGUGAAACAUCCUUUAGGGGAUGGGGCGCGGAUGGACCUGCGGUGCAUUAGUUGGUUGGCGGGGUAAAGGCCCACCAAGACGAUGAUGCAUAGCCGGCCUGAGAGGGCGGACGGCCACAUUGGGACUGAGACACGGCCCAGACUCCUGCGGGAGGCAGCAGUAGGGAAUUUUCGUCAAUGGGCGCAAGCCUGAACGAGCGAUGCCGCGUGAGUGAAGAAGGCCUUCGGGUCGUAAAGCUCUGUUGCGGGGGAAAAAAGGCAGCAUCAGGAAAUGGGUGCUGACUGAUGGUGCCCCGCCAGAAAGUCACGGCUAACUACGUGCCAGCAGCCGCGGUAAUACGUAGGUGGCGAGCGUUAUCCGGAAUGAUUGGGCGUAAAGGGUGCGCAGGCGGUCCUGCAAGUCUGGAGUGAAACGCAUGAGCUCAACUCAUGCAUGGCUUUGGAAACUGGAGGACUGGAGAGCAGGAGAGGGCGGUGGAACUCCAUGUGUAGCGGUAAAAUGCGUAGAUAUAUGGAAGAACACCAGUGGCGAAGGCGGCCGCCUGGCCUGUUGAUGACGCUGAGGCACGAAAGCGUGGGGAGCAAAUAGGAUUAGAUACCC
Molecule: ribosomal RNA, 750 nt
Filed under: uncultured bacterium
Lineage: Bacteria
Description: bacterial SSU rRNA
Rfam family: Bacterial small subunit ribosomal RNA
Source: RNAcentral